This 2229-nucleotide ribosomal RNA is filed under the name Ureibacillus thermosphaericus. Its description in RNAcentral is "partial 23S ribosomal RNA". It matches the Rfam family "Bacterial large subunit ribosomal RNA", at positions 696 to 2925 of the family's 2925-position model. Lineage: Bacteria; Bacillati; Bacillota; Bacilli; Caryophanales; Caryophanaceae. The record is from RNAcentral.
UGAGUACGUGGUCGUAGACCCGAAACCAGGUGAUCUACCCAUGUCCAGGGUGAAGGUGAGGUAACACUCACUGGAGGCCCGAACCCACGCACGUUGAAAAGUGCGGGGAUGAGGUGUGGGUAGCGGAGAAAUUCCAAUCGAACUUGGAGAUAGCUGGUUCUCUCCGAAAUAGCUUUAGGGCUAGCCUCGUGUGAAGAAUACUGGAGGUAGAGCACUGUUUGGACUAGGGGCCCACCUCGGGUUACCGAAUUCAGACAAACUCCGAAUGCCAGCUAUUUAUACACGGGAGUCAGACUACGAGUGAUAAGAUCCGUGGUCAAAAGGGAAACAGCCCAGACCACCAGCUAAGGUCCCAAAGUAAUCGUUAAGUGGAAAAGGAUGUGGCGUUGCUUAGACAACCAGGAUGUUGGCUUAGAAGCAGCCAUCAUUUAAAGAGUGCGUAAUAGCUCACUGGUCGAGUGACGCUGCGCCGAAAAUGUAACGGGGCUAAACGAUUCACCGAAGCUGUGGAUUCGUGCGUUGCACGAGUGGUAGGAGAGCGUUCUAAGUGCGUCGAAGUCAGACCGGAAGGACUGGUGGAGCGCUUAGAAGUGAGAAUGCCGGUAUGAGUAGCGAAAGAUGGGUGAGAAUCCCAUCCACCGAAUGACUAAGGUUUCCUGAGGAAGGCUCGUCCGCUCAGGGUUAGUCGGGACCUAAGUCGAGGCCGAAAGGCGUAGACGAUGGACAACAGGUUGAUAUUCCUGUACCACCUCCCCGCCGUUUGAGUGAUGGGGGGACGCAGGAGGAUAGGGAAUGCACGCCGUUGGUCGAGCGUGUCCAAGCAGCAAGGCGUGGAAGUAGGCAAAUCCGCUUCCUAAUACGCUGAGCUGUGAUGGGGAGCGCGUUACGCGCGAAGUUCCUGAUUUCACACUGCCAAGAAAAGCCUCUAGCGAGGCGGGAGGUGCCCGUACCGCAAACCGACACAGGUAGUCGAGGAGAGAAUCCUAAGGUGAGCGAGAGAACUCUCGUUAAGGAACUCGGCAAAAUGACCCCGUAACUUCGGGAGAAGGGGUGCUCAUUGGGGUGCAAGCCCUGAUGAGCCGCAGUGAAUAGGCCCAGGCGACUGUUUAGCAAAAACACAGGUCUCUGCAAAACCGUAAGGUGAAGUAUAGGGGCUGACGCCUGCCCGGUGCUGGAAGGUUAAGAGGAGGAGUUAGCGCAAGCGAAGCUCCGAAUUGAAGCCCCAGUAAACGGCGGCCGUAACUAUAACGGUCCUAAGGUAGCGAAAUUCCUUGUCGGGUAAGUUCCGACCCGCACGAAAGGCGUAACGAUCUGGGCACUGUCUCAACGAGAGACUCGGUGAAAUUAUAGUACCUGUGAAGAUGCAGGUUACCCGCGACAGGACGGAAAGACCCCGUGGAGCUUUACUGUAACCUGAUAUUGAAUUUCGGUGCAACUUGUACAGGAUAGGUAGGAGCCGUAGAAGGGGGAGCGCCAGCUUCCCUGGAGGCGCCCUUGGGAUACUACCCUGGUUGUACUGAAAUUCUAACCCGCAAGCCUGAUCGGCUUGGGAGACAGUGUCAGGUGGACAGUUUGACUGGGGCGGUCGCCUCCUAAAAGGUAACGGAGGCGCCCAAAGGUUCCCUCAGAAUGGUUGGAAAUCAUUCGCAGAGUGUAAAGGCAUAAGGGAGCUUGACUGCGAGACCUACAAGUCGAGCAGGGUCGAAAGACGGGCUUAGUGAUCCGGUGGUUCCGCAUGGAAGGGCCAUCGCUCAACGGAUAAAAGCUACCCCGGGGAUAACAGGCUUAUCUCCCCCAAGAGUCCACAUCGACGGGGAGGUUUGGCACCUCGAUGUCGGCUCAUCGCAUCCUGGGGCUGUAGUCGGUCCCAAGGGUUGGGCUGUUCGCCCAUUAAAGCGGUACGCGAGCUGGGUUCAGAACGUCGUGAGACAGUUCGGUCCCUAUCCGUCGUGGGCGUAGGAAAUUUGAGAGGAGCUGUCCUUAGUACGAGAGGACCGGGAUGGACACACCGCUGGUGUACCAGUUGUCUUGCCAAAGGCACCGCUGGGUAGCUAUGUGUGGACGGGAUAAGUGCUGAAAGCAUCUAAGCAUGAAGCCCCCCUCAAGAUGAGAUUUCCCAUUGCAUAAGCAAGUAAGAUCCCUCAAAGACGAUGAGGUAGAUAGGUCCGAGGUGGAAGCACGGUGACGUGUGGAGCUGACGGAUACUAAUCGAUCGAGGACUUAACCAAU